GCAGCAAAGCCAUAUGCGUGGCAGGAUUACAUCAAUUGACAUCCACGAAGAAGAACGGUUUGUUUUCAACAAUGGUUUUUACGAGGAAGAAACUGCAGGACGUCAUCAGAGGGCAAGGAUAUCAUCAACCAGAGGAUAGGGCAGCUCCUGGCUAUUAUCCUCAAGACUAAUGUGUCUGCAUGUAACUUUGUCCAGUCCUUUCUGGGAUAGGAGAUUUGGAGACAGGGCUGUUCUAAAAGCACGUUUAAAACCCACUACAGCCUGGGGUGACUAGUUCCAUGUUGCCAGAACUGCAGCAGACUACUGUUUGCAUCGGAGCCACAGCCAUUCCCCCAUGUCCAACUGCCACAGGCACAUCGGCAACAGGGGUGCGGAGAACAGAAUGGAAUCAGACAGAGGAAGGAGACGAGAAGUUUCCUCCACCACUGAACCAUCAAACACAGACCAGACUCCAACCCCUGGCCCUGAGACCUCCAGUCCACAACCCCCUCAGCCAGACACAGACCAGACUCCAACCCCUGAGACCUCCAGUCCACAACCCCCUCAGCCAGACACAGACCCCACCCCCGGGACCUCCUCUGACCAACCGAAGCCAUGAGUGUCUUUUAAACAACAUAAAAGCUUGCCUGUAUAAUGCAAAAAUUAGCUAUAUGAGGACUUUGCUGGUCCUUUGGAAAACACCAGCUGAAGAACCAAAGCCUCCAAAAGGAAAGACAAUAAAGAAACUUGCUCAAACAUCCCAAAAAAGAACAAACAAUGAACCAUCUCAGAAGCGCGAAACACAACAGGCAAAGAAAUCACACUGUAGUUGCAAGCCCAAGAAGAGGAGGAUAAACAAAGCUGCCAAAAUACAGACACAAACAAAGAAUUGGCUCAAAUACCAGCCACAAACAAAGAUUUUCCUCAAACGCCAGACACAAAAAAUAAGUAUCUCAAAUGCCCCAAAUAAGGGAAGUGGACAUGGAGGCUACUGAAACAUGGGACGCAGCGGACAUUCUGACCUACCAGAUUCUGUGACAUCCUAUGGAUUCUCUCUCGCUUACUUACACACACACACACACACACACACCAGUGCGCAGUACACAAAGACUCCUGUUUCAAUAUUUUUUUAUCAGAAAUUUUGCUGAAGAAAUGGUUCCUCUUGAUUUGUUGUUUUUCUUUUGUAAAGUUAUGUUGGUGAAGAAUGUUUCAUAAAACAAAGUUAGAUUUCAGAACCAAGAGUUGUCUACAUUUGUUUUCUAUUAAAAAAGUCUCUCAAACAGACAUUGUUCUCUACUGGUUAAGACCAUGGUCAGUUGUGGUACGUUGGUAUCAGUUUUAAAUGUAUUCAAACGUAUUUUCUUAGUUUGACUCCCUGGUAAAUGCAACGACUUGGGACUGUUCAAAGUGCCUGCACUAAUGCUGAACAUGCAGAAAACCUGAACAUUUUGAUUAUCAGGAGUUCACUUUACAUUAUUACAUCCUGAGCAUUGCCCUUGUCGUUUAAUGAA
Molecule: non-coding RNA, 1490 nt
Organism: Salmo salar (Atlantic salmon)
Lineage: Eukaryota; Metazoa; Chordata; Actinopteri; Salmoniformes; Salmonidae
Source: RefSeq, a predicted model, not a curated record